GGGCUGAUAGUGAUAACGGGAGCACAUUGCGCUUGCACCGCAAAGGUCGGGGUUCGAUUCCCCGUCGGUCCACCA
Molecule: transfer RNA, 75 nt
Filed under: Syntrophomonadaceae bacterium
Lineage: Bacteria; Bacillati; Bacillota; Clostridia; Eubacteriales; Syntrophomonadaceae
Description: tRNA-Ala
Rfam family: tRNA
About the family: Transfer RNA (tRNA) molecules are approximately 80 nucleotides in length.
Source: RNAcentral